UUCCUACGGGAGGCAGCAGUGGGGAAUAUUGGACAAUGGGGGAAACCCUGAUCCAGCGACGCCGCGUGACUGAAGAAGUAUUUCGGUAUGUAAAGGUCUAUCAGCAGGGAAGAAAAUGACGGUACCUGACUAAGAAGCCCCGGCUAACUACGUGCCAGCAGCCGCGGUAAU
Molecule: ribosomal RNA, 171 nt
Filed under: uncultured bacterium
Lineage: Bacteria
Description: partial 16S ribosomal RNA
Rfam family: Bacterial small subunit ribosomal RNA
Source: RNAcentral